RNAcentral lists this long non-coding RNA (200 nucleotides) under Vigna radiata. RNAcentral's name for it is "long non-coding RNA (VRAD_LNC016407)". The record is from RNAcentral. Lineage: Eukaryota; Viridiplantae; Streptophyta; Magnoliopsida; Fabales; Fabaceae.
AAGUUGGUAUUUCUCAUUAACCAAAAAUGAAUGUACAAGUACAAAGUAUAUAACAAUGAAAAGAAAAGAAAUUAACUGUCCAACAGACAGUUAAUACCGUUAAGAGUUUUCUUUUACAUUCUCAACACACCCCUCUAAAACUAAACUCUCUAGAGAUUUAACUCCAAGAGAAUCCCUCAACUUCUCAAACCUGUUUCGCC